Long non-coding RNA from Sceloporus undulatus (fence lizard), 648 nucleotides. RefSeq lists it as uncharacterized. NCBI's taxonomy places the organism in Eukaryota, Metazoa, Chordata, Lepidosauria, Squamata, Phrynosomatidae. The transcript is spliced from 4 exons. The record is from RefSeq and is a predicted model, not a curated record.
AGUCUUCCAGGAGUUGCAGAAAGAUCACAGCCUGGCGAAGUUUUCAAACAUUUACGCCACAGCUCUACAAAAUCUGUCUGCCACAAACAGGUUGUCAAGUGUGGAAGAGAAUGUUGAAAAGACUCCCGAGGAGGAGAAAGACAGCAUGCCUGAAGAGAUGCAGCCGAGUGAAGGUUUGGACAGCCAGCCAACCAGCCCCGUCCCAUCAUUGGAACCAUUGGACUCCCCCUUGCCAGAAGAUCCACCCGUGCAAGAGGGAAAAAGGCCGAAGAACCAAGCGACCCAGAGGAAGAGUUGCCUUCCAUGAGUGCUUCUGGUGCUGAUGCUGGAACUGGAACGGCCACUAGUUGUGAAAUAGAUCCUAUUCUGGAAGAUCAAUUGUUCUUCCUUUGGCCUAGCUUGAAGAUUUGGACCUCUUCUGAUGGUUACCUUCUUGGUCCUGUCUGCCCUUUUACACUUUAGACAUCAAGAUUGCCGUUCCUGAAAGUCUCUUUCCCCAGCAGUGCCACCCAAAGAAGGGGCAGCCCUUUCCCCAGGCCACAGCAAUGGGGGAGGAGAUUUUCAGCAGCCUCUGAGCAGGACGGCUCUUCCUCUGCCCAGAGGGGAAAGAAAGGGCAAGGAGGACCAACCCACUGUUUCCCUGGUCUU